RNAcentral lists this ribosomal RNA (400 nucleotides) under Mantidactylus mocquardi. Its description in RNAcentral is "partial 16S ribosomal RNA". It matches the Rfam family "Bacterial large subunit ribosomal RNA", at positions 1922 to 2489 of the family's 2925-position model. The record is from RNAcentral. Lineage: Eukaryota; Metazoa; Chordata; Amphibia; Anura; Mantellidae.
CUUUAACGGCCACGGUACCCUAACCGUGCAAAGGUAGCAUAAUCACUUGUUCUUUAAAUAAGGACUCGUAUCAACGGCAUCACGAGGGUUCUACUGUCUCCUUUUUUUAAUCAGUGAAACUAAUCUCCCCGUGAAGAAGCGGGGAUAUUCUUAUAAGACGAGAAGACCCCAUGGAGCUUUAAACCCAACUAUAUACCUAACUAUUAUAACCACUUAAUCCCUUAGCAUUAAUAUAUUUGGUUUUAGGUUGGGGCGACCACGGAGUAUAACUAAACCUCCACAAUGAACGAAACAACCCUUCUUAUCUGAGAAUUACACCUCUAAGAAUUAGUACACUAACAUAAAAUGACCCAUUAUUGAUCAACGAACCAAGUUACCCUGGGGAUAACAGCGCAAUCCA